GACAGAGGGUGCAAGCGUUGUCCGGAAUCAUUGGGCGUAAAGCGCGUGUAGGCGGCCCGAUAAGUCCGCUGUGAAAGUCCAGGGCUCAACCCUGGGAUGCCGGUGGAUACUGUCGGGCUCGAGUCCGGAAGAGGCGAGUGGAAUUCCUGGUGUAGCGGUGAAAUGCGCAGAUAUCAGGAGGAACACCAAUGGCGAAGGCAGCUCGCUGGGACGUGACUGACGCUGAGACGCGAAAGCGUGGGGAGCAAACAGG
This 253-nucleotide ribosomal RNA is filed under the name uncultured bacterium. Its description in RNAcentral is "partial 16S ribosomal RNA". It matches the Rfam family "Bacterial small subunit ribosomal RNA", at positions 524 to 776 of the family's 1533-position model. The record is from RNAcentral.